AUGCAUCUGGAGAGGUCCCACCGCCUUCUGAUCUUCCUGGAUCAAACGUCGGUAGAGAACCGGCUCAGCCACCGGCAGCGCCCUGGGAGAACAACUGCAAACUUUGCUCUGGUCAGUAAAGUUACUCAAACUUUUGUCUUUGGCGCGACUCUGGGUCGGGAGCGGCGCGCACAAAACAGUUUGUUUGCAUCACUGAUUUCUUUUAAAGGGAUACGGACCCAGUUCUGGGUCGAGCGCAGCGUCACGACAGGCAAACAGCAGAACAUGGGAAGACUCAUCACGCUUCCCUGCGCCUUUGAAAUCACACAAGAAGGACUCUCGGGCUGUCACCUUUCAUUUCUGCUGAAUUUUGCUACCAACUAAAUGACGGAAGCAGAGUCCAGAAUGAACAGAAAGGUUCAAAUGCGUAACCGACGCGCUGUUCCAAUAUAAAAAACAGAGACGUUUUAGAUGAUUAAACAGAAAAAAAAAAUGCUUAAGUAGUUUAAAAUUGAAGCUUUGACGUGCCAGUUUGUCGUUUUCUUACAGAAAAAGACAAUUUCAAGUUGAGCUCUGUUUGCAUCUUGUGUGUGUAUUUAAUGUAGUGCCUAAUCCACAUCCAGUAAGCUUUUCAUUUAUCCAAGAUCAUAUUUUUUUAUUUGCGUAAUUUUCAAAUCCUGGAUUUCCAUAAUAGGUCAUUUGACGUAAAAUUAUUUUUUUAUUCCUUUAGCUAAAUGUGUUUUCACUCUUAAUUGGGCUAACGUGAACCACGUGCACCUACUAGAAAUACAUUUUUUUGAAUAUUUUGUUUUAAAACUAUGUUGCGGUGCAUUUAAAUGCGCUGAAAUGUGUUUUUUCUUCUCUCAUCGGGAAUGCCUGCCCUGUAAGCAAGGAACCCCGGGGGUCCUUGCGGUUCACUUUGACAACCGAUGCUUCAAUCACCUAUUGUUUUACGCGCACUGAUGCGCACUGCGCUUCCAAACUCUCAAAUAAAUAAAAUAAAACAUGUCACAGUUUCUCAAAUGCAGAUGAAAUAUUGGGAGUAGCCUGUGUAGGAGCAUGCACUGGAUUUAAAUUAGACUUCCUCUCCCAUAGUCCGGGACUCUUUCUCUUUACAAGGGAAGGAUGGGCGUUUGUGGACUGCUCCAGAGUCUGCGUCAUGUGGCUUGGUUUCUGGCAUGCUAUUGGUCUAAGGCACGUGUCUGGGAGGACGGUGGGAGAGCGUCACUUAGGGGGCUCGUAUUGAAAAUAAGAACAAAACUCCAGAGUGAGAGUAUUAGAGCAUCAGUUUAGGAGCCUCUUUAUUUACCCCUAGUUUAGUUUAGGUGUAGGCUUUACUGGGCAGACUGAAAUCCAGUGGCAGUAAAUCUGUUGGUGCGCAAAUGGCUGAUGCUUUAGCUGAGAGCUUUCAGUUGUAACCCGAGAGUGAGGGGAUAUAUGUCUAAAAUUAUGCUUUUCUCAAAGGACACGGCCGCAAGACUUUGCAUGGUGUCCAGGGCACUGCGUAUUCUUUGAGGUUGUAUUUAUUUCUUCAACCAGUGCUGGUUUUCUUUUUGGGCAAUCCCAUUUCCCCGAAGUUCUGCGCGAAUCUUAUUGCAGCGGAGGGAGCGAUAAAGGGGUUAACGCGAGUAA
Long non-coding RNA from Oryzias sinensis (Chinese medaka), 1611 nucleotides. Lineage: Eukaryota; Metazoa; Chordata; Actinopteri; Beloniformes; Adrianichthyidae. The record is from Ensembl.